Macrobrachium nipponense is the source of this 962-nucleotide long non-coding RNA. RefSeq lists it as uncharacterized. Lineage: Eukaryota; Metazoa; Arthropoda; Malacostraca; Decapoda; Palaemonidae. The record is from RefSeq and is a predicted model, not a curated record. The transcript has 3 exons.
CUGUUCCUGGCCCGGGAAAAGUAGUCGACAGGACGGAGAAGUCUAUUUUGUGAUAGUGCUAGUGCUAAUCAUAUUUGGGACAUAAAUAUAAUUUUUAUUGUGGUAGCUGCUUGUCUAAUUCAUAAAUACGCCAUACAAGCAUUAGGUCAUUGUCCCUGCUAGACUCCGCGAGUAAAUAGGACUGAUGCGCUUUUGAGAACUUUUCCAAAGACUAAUAGCCUUGUCAGACACAGUUCCUCGAAUGCCGAGCUGUUUCUUAAACGACAUUUCUCGUAUCAGUCUGUGGACGUCUGGUAGUUAGUAAGUGAAGACUUUGAGAGUCAUUGGACGCCAGUGGUCCUGUGGAAGCCGAAUGAAAUGAAAGACAAACGAACUGACCUCCUCCAGGCGCUCCUUUAGUACCCCCCACCAUCGUCACGCCCUUGUAAGACAACCUAGGAUGUCGGUGGGUGAAUGAUAAUUAGCACCAUUACCACCGCCCUUAUGCCGCCCCUUUUAGCUAAAUGUGAAACAUGGAUCAAAAAAUGACUCGUACGUCCCAGCAGCCCUUUUCUCCGCCUCCUCCUCUUCUCCUCCUCCUCCUCCUCCUCCUCCUCCUACUCCCUUUUCUUGCGUCCCUUCUUUUCUUGGUGUAGCAGCGGCAGCAGGACACUCGGCUUGGGAUCUGCCAAGUCCAGGUAUUCCAUUGCUCGUCCAUGUUCUCUUCGCCCUUAUCGACGAGUAAUCUGUUUUAUAGCUUUGUUUCGUUCCCUGCUUCUGAUGAGGCCUACCUUCCCUUCCCUCUCCCCCUCCUCCCCCCCCCCUCUCCAAGGAACCCCCACACAGCGUACCAAAGGGCCUUUCGUAUCCUCCCCCGUCUGCUCCCCUCCCCACCCCUUCAUACAUCAGAAGGAGGGAUCAAGAAAAGGUUUGCCAUUAUCCUGCGCAUCCUCUUGUCCUUUUUUCCACUGGGAAUUUUUAGA